AUGGAGCGGCGAGGAGCAGCGGCGGCGCCGUCGCUGGAGCUGCCGGGGUUCCGCUUCCACCCCACGGAGGAGGAGCUGCUGGAGUUCUACCUCAAGCACCACGUCACCCGAAACAACAAGCAGCAGCAGCUCAGGGCGCCGUUCGACAUCAUCCCCACGGUGCACCUGUACCGGCACGACCCCUGGGACCUCCCGGGCCUGGCCGCCAUCGCCAGCGAGCGCGAGUGGUACUUCUUCGUGCCCCGCGACGGCGCCCGGAAGCACGCGUCCGGCGUUGCCGGGGGCGGGCGCCCGAGCCGCACCACGGAGCGCGGGUUCUGGAAGGCCACGGGGUCCGACCGCGCCGUGCGCUGCGCCGCCGAUCCCAAGCGCCUCGUCGGGCUCAAGAAGACGCUCGUCUACUACCAGGGCCGCGCGCCCCGGGGCACCAAGACAGACUGGGUCAUGAACGAGUACCGCCUGCCCGACCUCGCCGGAGCCGGCGCCGGCGAGCAGCAGGACGUGGUGCUCUGCAAGGUGUACCGCAAGGCCGUGUCGCUCAAGGAGCUGGAGCAGCGGGUCGCCAUGGAGGAGCUCGCGCGCACGCGCUCCUCCCCGCCCACCACCACGGCCUCCCACUGCAGCGCCGGCUCGCCCGACGUCUCCUCCGCGUCGGAGGUCGCCAACGAGGCCGUCAACGCCGUCGUGCAGCACCAUGGCCACCACGGGGUGAAGAAGGAGGAGGCCGUGGCGGUGGCGAGGCCGCCGGCGAUGCGGCUGCCGCAGCUGGAGACGGCCAAGGGCGGCGCUGGGCUGGAGUGGAUGCAGGACCCGUUCCUGACGCAGCUGAGGAGCCCCUGGAUGGAGGGCCUCUGCUUGUCUCCCUACUACGCCAGCAGCGUCCUCAACUUCUAG
Molecule: ribosomal RNA, 894 nt
Filed under: Triticum aestivum (bread wheat)
Lineage: Eukaryota; Viridiplantae; Streptophyta; Magnoliopsida; Poales; Poaceae
Description: partial small subunit ribosomal RNA
Source: RNAcentral